This 76-nucleotide transfer RNA is filed under the name Stenotrophomonas sp. KCTC 12332. Its description in RNAcentral is "tRNA-Ala". It matches the Rfam family "tRNA". Rfam says of the family: Transfer RNA (tRNA) molecules are approximately 80 nucleotides in length. Their secondary structure includes four short double-helical elements and three loops (D, anti-codon, and T loops). Lineage: Bacteria; Pseudomonadati; Pseudomonadota; Gammaproteobacteria; Lysobacterales; Lysobacteraceae. The record is from RNAcentral.
CGGGCCUUAGCUCAGCUGGGAGAGCACCUGCUUUGCAAGCAGGGGGUCGUCGGUUCGAUCCCGACAGGCUCCACCA